RNAcentral lists this ribosomal RNA (822 nucleotides) under Neoapachella rothi. RNAcentral describes it as "eukaryotic LSU rRNA". It matches the Rfam family "Eukaryotic large subunit ribosomal RNA", at positions 52 to 633 of the family's 3401-position model. The record is from RNAcentral. Lineage: Eukaryota; Metazoa; Arthropoda; Arachnida; Araneae; Euctenizidae.
GGAGGAAAAGAAACCAACUGGGAUUCCCUUAGUAACGGCGAGCGAACAGGGAUGAGUUCAGCGCCGAAUUCCGCGCUCUUUGCGGGCGUCGGAAAAUGUGGCGUUUAGGAGGGAGCGUGCCGGGAGUCUGACCUUGCAGCAAGUCCCCCUGACCGGGGCAGUUACCCAGAGUGGGUGCGAGGCCCAUAGCUGCUCGGUCUCUCUCGGAUGCGACCUCUUGGGAGUCGGGUUGCUUGGGAGUGCAACCCUAAUUGGGUGGUAAACUCCACCUAAAACUAAAUACGGCCGUGAGACCGAUAGCAAACAAGUACCGUGAGGGAAAGUUGCAAAGAACUUUGAAGAGAGAGUUCAAGAGUACGUGAAACUGCUCAGAGGCAAACGGGUGGGCCCUCGAAAUCCGUCGGCGGGGGAUUCAGUCGGGAAGUGCGGGCGCGUGCGCUGGUCGUUUCAUCGGACCCUUUCCUGGGCCGGGCCAGCGUCGCAGUCUCGUGCGACCCGACGCACUUCCUCCCGCCCUGAGGACGCCGCAGCCGGUUGGGUAGCUGCGCGAGUCGGCCAUAAGGACGGGCACGGAAGGUGGCCAGUGGCGUUCUUCGUGUUCGUCGCUGGUCGUUAUCCAGCUCGUCCGUGGCGCGACACCCGACCGUGGUCGAUAGGUCCAGGUUAGGACCUUGCCGUCCCCUCCCACUCACGUGGUUGAGCAGGCGCUCUUGCAGGCGAUUUCCCGUGCGGUCGUCCCACUCUCGUAGUGGCCGGCUCACGGGAGGCGCCGUUGGUGCGGAUGCGACCUGCGAUGGGGUUCCGGCGGCUUGCGGCGAGUAG